ACACGGUAAGGAUUGACGGACUGAAGGCUCUUUCUCGAUUCCGUGGAAAGUGGUGCAUGGCCGUUUUUGGUUGGUGGAUCGAUCCGUCUGGUUAAUUCCGUUAACGAACGAGACCUCGGCACUCCGAAUAGCGCGGCGGACGUCGCGGCCUCCGGGCCGUCUUCCGCACGAGCUUCUUAGAGGGACCGUCCCCCGCCGGGGAAGGAGGUGCGAGGCAACGACAGGUCUGUGAUGCCCUUAGAUGUUCUGGGCCGCACGCGCAUUACACUGACGCGUCCAACGGGUGACUCCCGACCCGAAGGGGCCGGGGAAUCCGCAAGGCGCGUCGUGAUGGGGAUUGAACGUUGCAAUUGUUGUUCACGAACGAGGAAUUCCUAGUAGGCGCGGGUCAUCAACCCCGCGCCGAUUACGUCCCUGCCCUUUGUACACACCGCCCG
This 437-nucleotide ribosomal RNA is filed under the name uncultured eukaryote. Its description in RNAcentral is "bacterial SSU rRNA". It matches the Rfam family "Eukaryotic small subunit ribosomal RNA", at positions 1228 to 1675 of the family's 1831-position model. The record is from RNAcentral.